Long non-coding RNA from Alosa alosa (allis shad), 376 nucleotides. RefSeq lists it as uncharacterized. The transcript is spliced from 3 exons. The record is from RefSeq and is a predicted model, not a curated record. Lineage: Eukaryota; Metazoa; Chordata; Actinopteri; Clupeiformes; Clupeidae.
CCUGAGGCUGGUUUUGGUGUGCCCUUGAGAUUUAAGUACCCAAGUGGAUGUAUAAGAACAAGACGAUUCCAGCUAUCUGAUUCAUCCAGGUUUUGUUUGACUUUGUUGGAGGGGAUGAGGACGCCUCUGAAUACUUUUAUGUACAAGACGCCUUGUCGCUGAACAGACUGAAAAGCAUUAUGGAUGGAACCCUAAUGGAGAAUGGCAUCACAGGAUUAUGCACAUUGUAUGUGCACUGGAUUCAUUCAGAUGACCCUGAGUUUGUACCAUUGGAUUUCACACCACCACCUGUCCCCUGUUCCCCACAACUUGUGUCUUCACUUGGCCAUGAUGGGUCCUUACUUCAAGAGAGGCAUGUUUUCAUAUUGUGUGGUGG